GGUUAAGCGACUAAGCGUACACGGUGGAUGCCCUGGCAGUCAGAGGCGAUGAAGGACGUGCUAAUCUGCGAUAAGCGCCGGUAAGGUGAUAUGAACCGUUAUAACCGGCGAUUUCCGAAUGGGGAAACCCAGUGUGAUUCGUCACACUAUCAUUAACUGAAUCCAUAGGUUAAUGAGGCGAACCGGGGGAACUGAAACAUCUAAGUACCCCGAGGAAAAGAAAUCAACCGAGAUUCCCCCAGUAGCGGCGAGCGAACGGGGAGGAGCCCAGAGCCUGAAUCAGCAUGUGUGUUAGUGGAAGCGUCUGGAAAGGUGCGCGAUACAGGGUGACAGCCCCGUACACAAAAGCGCAUGUGCUGUGAGCUCGAUGAGUAGGGCGGGACACGUGGUAUCCUGUCUGAAUAUGGGGGGACCAUCCUCCAAGGCUAAAUACUCCUGACUGACCGAUAGUGAACCAGUACCGUGAGGGAAAGGCGAAAAGAACCCCGGCGAGGGGAGUGAAAAAGAACCUGAAACCGUGUACGUACAAGCAGUGGGAGCACAGGUUUACCUGUGUGACUGCGUACCUUUUGUAUAAUGGGUCAGCGACUUAUAUUCUGUAGCAAGGUUAACCGUAUAGGGGAGCCGGAGGGAAACCGAGUCUUAACCGGGCGUUAAGUUGCAGGGUAUAGACCCGAAACCCGGUGAUCUAGCCAUGGGCAGGUUGAAGGUUGGGUAACACUAACUGGAGGACCGAACCGACUAAUGUUGAAAAAUUAGCGGAUGACCUGUGGCUGGGGGUGAAAGGCCAAUCAAACCGGGAGAUAGCUGGUUCUCCCCGAAAGCUAUUUAGGUAGCGCCUCGUGAAUUCAUCUCCGGGGGUAGAGCACUGUUUCGGCUAGGGGGCCAUCCCGGCUUACCAACCCGAUGCAAACUGCGAAUACCGGAGAAUGUUAUCACGGGAGACACACGGCGGGUGCUAACGUCCGUCGUGAAGAGGGAAACAACCCAGACCGCCAGCUAAGGUCCCAAAGUCAUGGUUAAGUGGGAAACGAUGUGGGAAGGCCCAGACAGCCAGGAUGUUGGCUUAGAAGCAGCCAUCAUUUAAAGAAAGCGUAAUAGCUCACUGGUCGAGUCGGCCUGCGCGGAAGAUGUAACGGGGCUAAACCAUGCACCGAAGCUGCGGCAGCGACGCUGAUGCGUUGUUGGGUAGGGGAGCGUUCUGUAAGCCUGCGAAGGUGACCUGUGAGGGUUGCUGGAGGUAUCAGAAGUGCGAAUGCUGACAUAAGUAACGAUAAAGCGGGUGAAAAGCCCGCUCGCCGGAAGACCAAGGGUUCCUGUCCAACGUUAAUCGGGGCAGGGUGAGUCGACCCCUAAGGCGAGGCCGAAAGGCGUAGUCGAUGGGAAACGGGUUAAUAUUCCCGUACUUGGUGUUACUGCGAAGGGGGGACGGAGAAGGCUAUGUUGGCCGGGCGACGGUUGUCCCGGUUUAAGCGUGUAGGUGUGUGUUCCAGGUAAAUCCGGUUCACUUUAACACUGAGGCGUGACGACGAGGCACUACGGUGCUGAAGCAACAAAUGCCCUGCUUCCAGGAAAAGCCUCUAAGCAUCAGGUAACACGAAAUCGUACCCCAAACCGACACAGGUGGUCAGGUAGAGAAUACCAAGGCGCUUGAGAGAACUCGGGUGAAGGAACUAGGCAAAAUGGUGCCGUAACUUCGGGAGAAGGCACGCUGACACGUAGGUGAAGUGAUUUACUCAUGGAGCUGAAGUCAGUCGAAGAUACCAGCUGGCUGCAACUGUUUAUUAAAAACACAGCACUGUGCAAACACGAAAGUGGACGUAUACGGUGUGACGCCUGCCCGGUGCCGGAAGGUUAAUUGAUGGGGUCAGCGCAAGCGAAGCUCCUGAUCGAAGCCCCGGUAAACGGCGGCCGUAACUAUAACGGUCCUAAGGUAGCGAAAUUCCUUGUCGGGUAAGUUCCGACCUGCACGAAUGGCGUAAUGAUGGCCAGGCUGUCUCCACCCGAGACUCAGUGAAAUUGAACUCGCUGUGAAGAUGCAGUGUACCCGCGGCAAGACGGAAAGACCCCGUGAACCUUUACUAUAGCUUGACACUGAACAUUGAGCCUUGAUGUGUAGGAUAGGUGGGAGGCUUUGAAGUGUGGACGCCAGUCUGCAUGGAGCCGACCUUGAAAUACCACCCUUUAAUGUUUGAUGUUCUAACGUGGACCCGUAAUCCGGGUUGCGGACAGUGUCUGGUGGGUAGUUUGACUGGGGCGGUCUCCUCCUAAAGAGUAACGGAGGAGCACGAAGGUUGGCUAAUCCUGGUCGGACAUCAGGAGGUUAGUGCAAUGGCAUAAGCCAGCUUGACUGCGAGCGUGACGGCGCGAGCAGGUGCGAAAGCAGGUCAUAGUGAUCCGGUGGUUCUGAAUGGAAGGGCCAUCGCUCAACGGAUAAAAGGUACUCCGGGGAUAACAGGCUGAUACCGCCCAAGAGUUCAUAUCGACGGCGGUGUUUGGCACCUCGAUGUCGGCUCAUCACAUCCUGGGGCUGAAGUAGGUCCCAAGGGUAUGGCUGUUCGCCAUUUAAAGUGGUACGCGAGCUGGGUUUAGAACGUCGUGAGACAGUUCGGUCCCUAUCUGCCGUGGGCGCUGGAGAACUGAGGGGGGCUGCUCCUAGUACGAGAGGACCGGAGUGGACGCAUCACUGGUGUUCGGGUUGUCAUGCCAAUGGCACUGCCCGGUAGCUAAAUGCGGAAGAGAUAAGUGCUGAAAGCAUCUAAGCACGAAACUUGCCCCGAGAUGAGUUCUCCCUGAGACUUAGAGUCUCCUGAAGGAACGUUGAAGACGACGACGUUGAUAGGCCGGGUGUGUAAGCGCAGCGAUGCGUUGAGCUAACCGGUACUAAUGAACCGUGAGGCUUAACCUU
This 2908-nucleotide ribosomal RNA is filed under the name Salmonella enterica subsp. enterica. RNAcentral describes it as "23S ribosomal RNA". It matches the Rfam family "Bacterial large subunit ribosomal RNA". Lineage: Bacteria; Pseudomonadati; Pseudomonadota; Gammaproteobacteria; Enterobacterales; Enterobacteriaceae. The record is from RNAcentral. RNAcentral also lists the same sequence under 1 other name.